RNAcentral lists this long non-coding RNA (215 nucleotides) under Phoenix dactylifera (date palm). Its description in RNAcentral is "long non-coding RNA (PDAC_LNC023085)". Lineage: Eukaryota; Viridiplantae; Streptophyta; Magnoliopsida; Arecales; Arecaceae. The record is from RNAcentral.
AACAACCGCCAUACGCCAUAAAGAAGCGGGGAGCUCGAAGCGCGCGCGCCUCUCCGAGGGAUGGCGGCAAUCACGAAGCAUCACUCCCUUCACCCGUUCCCCUUCUGGUUCCAGGCUCGGAAGUGGGGGGCUACUGUUACGGAGGAACUUAGCCACCAUGCCCCACGUGACCGGCACGCGCGCCCAGAAAGACUACGGCAGCCCCUUGAUCCAGC